GAUGAACGCUGGCGGCGUGCCUAAUACAUGCAAGUCGAGCGAACGGACGAGAAGCUUGCUUCUCUGAUGUUAGCGGCGGACGGGUGAGUAACACGUGGAUAACCUACCUAUAAGACUGGGAUAACUUCGGGAAACCGGAGCUAAUACCGGAUAAUACUUUGAACCGCAUAGUUCAAAAGUGAAAGACGGUCUUGCUGUCACUUAUAGAUGGAUCCGCGCUGCAUUAGCUAGUUGGUAAGGUAACGGCUUACCAAGGCAACGAUGCAUAGCCGACCUGGGAGGGUGAUCGGCCACACUGGAACUGAGACACGGUCCAGACUCCUACGGGAGGCAGCAGUAGGGAAUCUUCCGCAAUGGGCGAAAGCCUGACGGAGCAACGCCGCGUGAGUUAUGAAGGUCUUCGGAUCGUAAAACUCUGUUAUUAGGGAAGAACAUAUGUGUAAGUAACUGUGCACAUCUUGACGGUACCUAAUCAGAAAGCCACGGCUAACUACGUG
This 497-nucleotide ribosomal RNA is filed under the name uncultured bacterium. Its description in RNAcentral is "partial 16S ribosomal RNA". It matches the Rfam family "Bacterial small subunit ribosomal RNA", at positions 28 to 507 of the family's 1533-position model. The record is from RNAcentral.